GACGAACGCUGGCGGCGUGCUUAACACAUGCAAGUCGAACGGAAAGGCCCUGCUUUUGUGGGGUGCUCGAGUGGCGAACGGGUGGGUAACACGUGAGUAACCUGCCCUUGACUUUGGGAUAACUUCAGGAAACUGGGGCUAAUACCGGAUAGGAGCUCCUGCUGCAUGGUGGGGGUUGGAAAGUUUCGGCGGUUGGGGAUGGACUCGCGGCUUAUCAGCUUGUUGGUGGGGUAGUGGCUUACCAAGGCUUUGACGGGUAGCCGGCCUGAGAGGGUGACCGGCCACAUUGGGACUGAGAUACGGCCCAGACUCCUACGGGAGGCAGCAGUGGGGAAUAUUGCACAAUGGGCGGAAGCCUGAUGCAGCAACGCCGCGUGCGGGAUGACGGCCUUCGGGUUGUAAACCGCUUUCGCCUGUGACGAAGCGUGAGUGACGGGAAUGGGUAAAGAAGCACCGGCUAACUACGU
RNAcentral lists this ribosomal RNA (467 nucleotides) under uncultured bacterium. Its description in RNAcentral is "partial 16S ribosomal RNA". It matches the Rfam family "Bacterial small subunit ribosomal RNA", at positions 28 to 506 of the family's 1533-position model. The record is from RNAcentral.